UCCGGCGUAGCUCAAUGGCAGAGCAUGCGACUGUUAAUCGCAGGGUUGUAGGUUCGAAUCCUACCGCCGGAGCCA
This 75-nucleotide transfer RNA is filed under the name Rhodospirillaceae bacterium BRH_c57. RNAcentral describes it as "tRNA-Asn". It matches the Rfam family "tRNA". Rfam says of the family: Transfer RNA (tRNA) molecules are approximately 80 nucleotides in length. Their secondary structure includes four short double-helical elements and three loops (D, anti-codon, and T loops). The record is from RNAcentral. Lineage: Bacteria; Pseudomonadati; Pseudomonadota; Alphaproteobacteria; Rhodospirillales; Rhodospirillaceae. RNAcentral also lists the same sequence under 1 other name.